AUGACGGCGAUUAGCAUGUUCAUACUGCAGAACAGUGAUGUUUGGGCAUUCCAGUACCGGAUCAAACUGCCGGUGAUGGAUAUCAGGCGUUUCGAGGAGCAAGGGGAUUUGUGGGCCAAGGUUGUGUCCGAGGAGGGAGACGUGCUUGCCAGCUGCCAUGGCCAGCUGUUGCACUAUGACAAAAAUGGCAAUCUGGUAGCAAACUUCAAGUAUGAAGAUCACGACCUGCCUGAGGUUCUUCUCCCCAGGCUCAAGGAGAGUCUUAUUCAGCGUACGUUUUUCCAAAAGAAGAUAGGGAAAGAAAAAGAAGAGUUGAUUCCUAUUGACCUUGAGAUCUGA
This 339-nucleotide ribosomal RNA is filed under the name Triticum aestivum (bread wheat). Its description in RNAcentral is "partial small subunit ribosomal RNA". The record is from RNAcentral. Lineage: Eukaryota; Viridiplantae; Streptophyta; Magnoliopsida; Poales; Poaceae.